RNA transcript from Capsicum annuum, 5267 nucleotides. It is a transcript of the gene named putative disease resistance protein RGA3, with no coding region annotated. The transcript is spliced from 3 exons. The record is from RefSeq and is a predicted model, not a curated record. Lineage: Eukaryota; Viridiplantae; Streptophyta; Magnoliopsida; Solanales; Solanaceae.
UCUACCCCAAUCAUCCAAACCACAGAAUAUCAUUCCUAAAAUAUCAUUUUUAACCCCAAAUUGAAAUCAUCCUCCCUUUCUCUCAAGUACUCCAAGAACAAGAUUCAAGUUUCCUUCUCUUCCAUAGAUCAAGAAUUCAUCCUCCUAAGUGAAGAUCUUCAAGGAAAGAGUCAAGAUUCGGGUUCCAUCUUUCAAAUUUUAUAAUCUAAGGUAUGUGGAACUACUCUAAAAAUCUUGGGCAUAAGUUUAAAUGUUUUAUCAAGAUUUAAGAUCCCCAAUUAUGAUUUAUAUGAAGUUUUGAUAUGAUUUUUUUGAAAAGUAUGAAUCAUGGGACUGUUUUGAUGAAAACAACUGUUGUCUUGAAUCACUUUUCAUGGAAAUUGAAUUAUGACUAGAUGUAUAUAUAAUUUUGUGUAUUUUUAAGAUUUAUUGAGAGAAUGAGUAUGAAUUCCCUUUCUUGUUGCAAAGUAAAACUUAUAUAAUCAUUAUGAAUGAUUUGAAAUACAUGUCUUAAGAUUUGAAAGUGAUCUUCUCAAUUUCAUGGUGUUUGACAUGGUUUUGUAUUUCAUGACAGGGAAUUUCUUGUCAUAGCUAUAUUCUUUCUUUAAAGAGAAAGAAUUGCAUGUGAUUAAACAAAUUGACAUGACGACCACAUGUUUUGAAUCUUGCAAAGAGAGGUUAGAAUACCUAAGUGUUCUUGCAAUUUCAAAGUGAUGAUUUUAUUGUGAUGUUAUGAACCUUGGGUGGUCAUGUGUAUUUUUAAAUAUGAUGGGCUGUGGAAUGGAUAUGAUAUUGACUUGCAAGUCAGGGUAUGACGAUACCCGGUGAUUAUGUGCCCAUAACAAGAUAAGUAUUGAAUGUUUUGAAAGUAUGAAGCAUGUUUGUUUUAAAGAACUAAAAAUUGGCUUAAGAGAGCUAGUAGGUUACCCGAAGAAGGCGUUUGAGUGUAAGGGCUCAUCGCUGGAAAUCGUAGUUGCCGAUGCAGGUCUUAUGAUAUUGUAUCCUACAUGGGAGGAUAAUAAAAUAAUUAAAACAUCUCACAUGGGGGGAUUCCUGCGGUGUACUCACAUGGGGGUAUCACCAGCUCUAAAUCCUGACAGCUACUUGGAUUGAAGGCUCGGUCGCCGAGUCAAGGGCGGGUUUCACAUAGCUCGUAGAAUUUCAAAUUUGUAGGGUGUACCAACUAGCUCAGAAGAAUAAUAAAGAGUGAGUCUAGGUUGUCAAGAACUGUUUUGAAAUUAUUAAAGUAUGCCCAUGUAUUUUACUUAUGUAUAUGAUCAUUGUUUUUUUAUGAAAUGCUCUCAUCUAUUUUGUAUAAAAACAUGUUAUUUUGAGUUGUUUCACAUACCAGUACAUGUGUAUUAACCCUUAUAUUUCAGAAUUCUGAGACACAGUCCUGGGGUCCCAUUAAGCAGUAGAUUGACUUGUCAGAAGUUUGCAAGUGGCAAAGGCAACUUCCACAUUUUGCAAGCAAAAAAUAAAAAGUAUAUAACUUGUUCAUCUUGCUGAUCUUGGUUGAAAUUCUGUUCGAUCUCGCUGCUGAAAUCUUGAAAAGCUUGGGUUCUCUUGCUGCUGAAGAAGUAGGAUCUAUUUAAGAAUUACGUGAUGAGCUUGAAAAUCUUUCUGCUACAGUUUCUUCCAUCCAAGCCAUACUCAUUGAUGCAGAGGAGCAGCAGGGGAGUAGCAACCUAGUGAGGGACUGGAUAAAAGGGCUUAAGAAAGUGUUCUUUGAAGCUGAUGAUCCCUUGGAUGACGUCGCCACUGAAGUUAAACAUUGAAAAUUGUUCAAUAAGGUAGGCAUCUUCUUCUCAAAAUCGAAUUCUAUAAUUUAUAAUCUUAAGAUUAGUCAUCGUCUCAAGGCUAUUCGACAAGAUCUAGAUGUAAUUACGAAAGAUAAGGCCUCCUUAAACCUAGUUGAAAGGAGGCAGCAACCUUUGCUUCGGGAGCCUUACUCAGUCCAAUUGAAUUUGGAUAGAGAGACUUAUUUAUUUGUGCCUAAAGGAGAAGUGAUUGGAAGGAGUUAUGAUAAAAAGAAAAUUGUGGAUUUUUUUUUUGGAUUCUGAGGUUGAAGAGAAUGUUGUGUCGUAUCAAUUGUUUGUCUUGGGGGAUAGUAAAGACCACUCUCGCACAAUGUGUGUACAAUGAUGAAAUGAUUAAAAAGAACUUCGAUAAAGCAUUGUGGGUUUGUGUUUCAGACAUAUUUGAAGUGAAAAUGAUUGCAGAAAAAAUCGUUGAAUCUGGGGGAGGGAAGAAGGAUAAUUACCUUCAACUAGAUACAGUGCAAAACAAGCUUAGGAAAAUGCUUGAUGGGAAGAAGUAUUUACUAGUGCUCGAUGAUGUGUGGAACGAAGAUCCCUUGAAAUAGUUGAACCUGAAGAAUAUGUUGAUCGGUGGAGCCAAGAGAAGUAAGAUCUUAGUGACUACUCGUUCAGACAUGGUGGCGGAAGUUUCAGGAUGUGUCCAUAAACAUAAAUUAGGAGACCUUUCAGAGGAAGAGGCAUGGACACUGUUUGAAAAAAUUGCAUUUGAAUACAAAGAGCACGAAAGUUUGAAUUUGGUGGAAAUAGGGAAGGAAAUUAUGAGAAAGUGUGGAGGAGCUCCUCUUGCAAUAAGGUCAGUAGGAUGCCUACUUCACCUCAAAAGAACAGAGGAUGAGUGGAUGUAUUUCAAGAAUCAAGAUUUGUCAAGUAUCACACGAGGAGGAAAUGAUGUAAUGGUCAUUUUGAGAUUGAGCUAUAAUUACCUUCCCCGGUAUUUAAAGAUAUGCUUCGCAUAUUGUUCCCUCUUUCCAAAGGAUUUCGAAAUUCAGAGAUUUGAUUUGGUCGAUAUGUGGAUUGCUCAAGGCUUUAUUAAACCAAUUUCUAGCAACAGAGAUAAUUUGGAGGAUGUUGCAAAUUCAUAUUUCGUGGAUUUGUUAAGAAGGUCAUUCUUUCAAGAAUAUGAUGCAUUUAUGCAAUUUUACAAAAUGCACGAUCUUAUACAUGAUCUCGUGAAAGAAGUUGCAGAUGGAGAGUUCUUUAGUAUCAUUAAAGCAGAAGAUACAAAGAUUGUCCCUGAUCAAACUUUCCAUGCUUCUUGCUUAUUUGAGACUGAUGGUUUAUCAGCAUUUCCCAAUUCAUUCAAUAGGAAGCAUAUGAAGUUGCGUACAUUUAUUUACCUAAACGAUUCUUCAUACAAUAUCAUGAGCAAUUCAAUUUUAGAGAGAGUGAUUUCAAGUUUUGCACAUCUGCGCGUCCUACAUCUACGUCACCUGCAGAUAAAAGUUAUGCCUCAAUCUUUAGGUGGACUGAAGCAUCUAAAGAUAUCUCUCUAUUUCUUCUUGGAGCAUUGUUACUUUUGUUACUUUACCAAAUACCAUAACAAAAUUGCAUAAUCUACAAAUUCUGAAGUUGGAUGGUUGCCAUAGACUCGAAAAGUUGCCAAGAGAUAUUUGGAGAUUGGUGAGCCUUCUACGUUUGAUAUGUCAAGGGUGUAGCUCAUUAACCCAUAUUCCGCCAUGACUUUCUGAGUUGACAAGUCUCAUGCAUUUGGAUUUCGAUGGUUGCUUAUCUCUGGAAGAUAUGCCAGCUGGAGUUGGUCAACUGACGUCUCUACGGACGUUGUCAAGUUUUAUCAUAGGCAAAGAGAGUUGCAUAUCUGGCCAGGCAAGUGACUGGUUGAAUGAACUGAAAGGCCUUGUUGAUCUCAGAAAUAGCUUAAGCAUUAAAUUCUUGGGACGUGUCUGUGCAAUUGGAGAAAGAACACCGACAGGUAUAGUGAAAAGGAUGAAGCAUCUUUGAUAGUUGAGUGUAGAGUUUGGAUAUGGAAAUCACGGGGAUGAUGAUACUGGAGAUGAUUUGAUGAUGUUGGAAGCCCUGGAGCCUCACCAAAACAUUGAAAGAUUGCGAAUAAAAAAUUACAGUGGGUCAUGGUUUCCAAGUUGGUUGAUGGUUGAGAAUCUUGGCCUUUCGCUGCCCAAGCUUGUUGAUCUACAUAUAGAAGAUUGCCAUAUAUGCCAAAAGCUUCCACCGCUAUGGAAAUUGUCUUCUCUCCGAAGUCUUGAACUACGGAAUCUGGGCGGACUUGAAGGUUAUGAUGUAAAAUUCAUGCAACCAUCAAAGACUCCUACAGAUGAACGCUACUACUUCUCUUCCUUAAAACAACUUGAACUGAAAGGAAUAAGUGAAAAGAAAGAGUUGACUGUAGAUUCUGUUGAAGGCCUAGCAACUAUGUAUGUGUUCAAGAAUCUCAUGUCGCUCCAAUCUUUGUCUAUUAAAAUCUGCAGAAAUUUGGUCUUUCUAUCCACAUGUCUAACUCAUCUCACUUCUCUAGAGACUUUAACUAUAGCAUAUUGCCCUGAACUCGACUUGUCCAACGAAGAGGAAAUGCAAUUUCAAGUCCCGGGGAACUUAUCAACUCUCAAUCUUUGGGAGCUUGAAAAGCUAACUUUGGCUCCGACAUUUCUCAGCUACUUUGAAAUAAAUAGACAUUUACAAUUGUCGUAACUUUGCAACAAUUCCAGAAUGGAUAGGCGACCUCGUUGCCCUUAAUCAGUUGGCGAUUUAUGAUUGUCCUAUGUUGACAUCCUUGCCAGAAGCCAUGCGAUCUCUCACAACAUUGCAAACGCUAUCUAUUACAUGGUGUUCAUGAAUCCUGAUGCGAAGAUGCGAGAAGGAAGUAGGAGGGGACUGGCCUAAGAUUGCUCACAUUCCAACUGUUGACAUACGAGGUAGGGGUAAUGAUUUACCUGGGAAGACUACAAAAUUCAGCUUCCCUCCAAAUACCAUAAAACCCAAUCAAGAUGUUAACUCUAACUCAUCUGCAUCUUUACAGUACCUCAGCAAUGAAGGAAAUAACCCUCACUCCAGUAACUCUCCCACCAUCUCACAGCCCAACCUCACGGUUGGAGAUGGUCCUGGUAGACAAAGCUGUUCUUCUAAACUUCAUGUUAGAACGGAACAAGAUAACUCUGAUCAGCCAAAAUCCAGCAUACCUAGCACAACUUAUGAUGGAAGGGAUGAAUCAAGGUCUGAGUUGUCUGGGUCAAAACAUAUGGAUGGUUGCGAUGCUAGACAACUCUCCCCUGACAUCGACCCAAUUUCUUGUUAGGUUGUGGAGUCUGAUUAAUAUGUGACGUACUAUUAUAUAGUAAUGUUUACGCGGUUCAUGCGACCCAAAUUUUAGGCUGUACCUUUUAUUCUCAUUCUCUGUGUAAUUGUACAUACUCCAAGUUAUUGAUAUAAAUAGCCUAUCCGCCGUGGAGGUUACCCACGGGUGUUACCACGAAA